RNAcentral lists this ribosomal RNA (494 nucleotides) under uncultured bacterium. RNAcentral's name for it is "partial 16S ribosomal RNA". It matches the Rfam family "Bacterial small subunit ribosomal RNA", at positions 28 to 507 of the family's 1533-position model. The record is from RNAcentral.
GACGAACGCUGGCGGCGUGCUUAACACAUGCAAGUCGAACGGAAAGGCCUGCUUUCCCUUGUGGUUUGCGGGUACUCGAGUGGCGAACGGGUGAGUAACACGUGAUUGAUCUGCCCCCAACUUGGGUAUAAGCCUGGGAAACUGGUUCUAAUUCCCGAUAGGACUGCAGGGUGGUGGCUGUUGUGGAAAACGACCUUCUAGUGGGUGGGGAUGAGCUCGCGGCCUAGCAGGUUGUGGGUGGGGUAAUGGCCUACGAAGGCGGCUACGGGUAGCCGGCCGGAGAGGGUGGACAGCGAAAUUGGGACUGAGAUCAGGCCCAGACUGGUGCGGGAGGCGGGGGUGGGGGAUAUAGGGCAGUGGGCGGGAUGCUGAUGCAGCGAGGCUGCGAGGGGGGUGACGGGGUUCGGGUUGUAAACUCCUUUCGACGGAGAGGAAGACGCCUGGUUGGAAGGGUAGUGACGGUAGUGGUAGAAGAAGCACCGGCUAACUCCGUG